UGGGGAAUAUCGCACAAUGGGCGAAAGCCUGAUGCAGCGACGCCGCGUGAGGGAUGACGGCCUUCGGGUUGUAAACCUCUUUCAGCAGGGACGAAGCGCAAGUGACGGUACCUGCAGAAGAAGCACCGGCUAACUACGUGCCAGCAGCCGCGGUAAUACGUAGGGUGCAAGCGUUGUCCGGAAUUACUGGGCGUAAAGAGUUCGUAGGCGGUUUGUCGCGUCGUUUGUGAAAACCAGCAGCUCAACUGCUGGCUUGCAGGCGAUACGGGCAGACUUGAGUACUGCAGGGGAGACUGGAAUUCCUGGUGUAGCGGUGAAAUGCGCAGAUAUCAGGAGGAACACCGGUGGCGAAGGCGGGUCUCUGGGCAGUAACUGACGCUGAGGAACGAAAGCGUGGGUAGCGAACAGG
This 409-nucleotide ribosomal RNA is filed under the name bacterium. Its description in RNAcentral is "partial 16S ribosomal RNA". It matches the Rfam family "Bacterial small subunit ribosomal RNA", at positions 355 to 776 of the family's 1533-position model. The record is from RNAcentral.